UACAGAGGGUGCAAGCGUUGCUCGGAAUUAUUGGGCGUAAAGGGUAGGUAGGUGGUCUUAUUUGUCUGGGGUGAAAGCCUUGAGCUUAACUCAAGAAGUGCCUCAGAAACGGUGAGACUAGAGUACUGGAGAGGAUAGUGGAAUUCCCGGUGUAGCGGUGAAAUGCGUAGAGAUCGGGAGGAACACCAGCGGCGAAGGCGGCUAUCUGGACAGUAACUGACACUAAACUACGAAAGCGUGGGGAGCAAACAGG
RNAcentral lists this ribosomal RNA (253 nucleotides) under uncultured bacterium. RNAcentral's name for it is "partial 16S ribosomal RNA". It matches the Rfam family "Bacterial small subunit ribosomal RNA", at positions 524 to 776 of the family's 1533-position model. The record is from RNAcentral.